This 1057-nucleotide long non-coding RNA is filed under the name Pogona vitticeps (central bearded dragon). RNAcentral describes it as "lncRNA (ENSPVIG00000025474.1)". The record is from RNAcentral. Lineage: Eukaryota; Metazoa; Chordata; Lepidosauria; Squamata; Agamidae.
UGAGUGGGGGGCUUACCACAACCCAACAGGAAUUCAUUACCUGGCCCUGUGCUACUUCUGCUACCAGAGCUUACUCAACAAAGAAGAUUUCAGAUCAUGAUGACAGCUCUCCACUUUCUUCUUGGUUGCAAAUGGUACAACAGAUUCAAUGAGCACACCUACUAGCUUUAUCUCCAGGCUUUCUUUUGGGGCCUUCACAUUGCAUAAGUACAACACACAUAAAAACACCCAGAAUUUGAAAUCACAACAUAGACAAAAAUCAAAAUUUCCUCUGUCUAUUGUUGCUCACUCAUAGAUGUGUUUUCUUAUCUGGAUAAAAGAACAUACCAAUUUCCUGAUAUCUCAGUAAGCAUCACAGACCUGACAACCCUACAGACAUGCUGUCUGUUUGAGCCAAGCAGCUAGACUGUGGCGAUUUAAAACAUCUACCUCUUUUUGACUUGUCUCAGUGACCUGUCCAGCAGAGAGAGAGAGAAAAUCCACUUUUCUGCCUCUGAAUCGACAGAGCUUAUUCAGUCUUUGUUCUUUCUUUCUGGGACUCAGCAUUCUUCUUGGCACCUCAAGCAUCAGCUGGCAUCAGCUUUAUAUGUACUCUGCUGCAAACAAAUGAUCCCCUCCAAGACAGAGCCUAUGUGGAAAAAGUGCAUCCACUUUUCAGCUUUAUAUGGCUCUGUUCAGCAUCAUGUGGAGUCACAAAUUUGAAGCCAGUAACACUAGUUAAAGAAGAAAUAGCUUCCUUUCAAAAGGAAAGCAAACUUUCAGAUGCAAAAAACUCAUGCUGUCACACAAUCACAUCACCUUUCAGCAUUUGCUCUGCAUUCAUUGCAAUCAUUCUACAUUAAGGGCCACCAUCAUGUUCCCAAAGGGGAGGGAGAAACUGUCUUGCAACAAGUACUCCGGGCAAUAAUACUUAGAAGAUGUGUCCAAGAACAGUCACAGCAGCUUUGUGUUUAGGUGAGGUAUAGUUAACUGAUGAAACAAAAAUAAUCAAGUUCUGGGAAUUUUCACUUUUUGGUCUCUAUGUGGGCACAAGAGGGGAUCCUGUAAAUCAUCUUGA